This 215-nucleotide unclassified non-coding RNA is filed under the name fungal sp. RNAcentral's name for it is "partial internal transcribed spacer region". The stretch from base 1 to 46 matches the Rfam family "Eukaryotic small subunit ribosomal RNA", at positions 1786 to 1831 of the family's 1831-position model. The record is from RNAcentral. RNAcentral also lists the same sequence under 1 other name. Lineage: Eukaryota; Fungi.
AAGUCGUAACAAGGUCUCCGUUGGUGAACCAGCGGAGGGAUCAUUACCAGAGUUUAUCUCGCAACCCUUUGUGAACUUAUAACGUUGCUUCGGCGGCGCUGCCCCCUGUGGGGAGUGCCCGCCGGCAGUACCAGCUUCUCGUUUUGGACCCGACGAUACUUCUGAGUGUUCUAAGCGAACUAUAAAAACUUUCAACAACGGAUCUCUUGGCUCUA